This 76-nucleotide transfer RNA is filed under the name Erysipelotrichaceae bacterium. RNAcentral describes it as "tRNA-Arg". It matches the Rfam family "tRNA". Rfam says of the family: Transfer RNA (tRNA) molecules are approximately 80 nucleotides in length. Their secondary structure includes four short double-helical elements and three loops (D, anti-codon, and T loops). Further hydrogen bonds mediate the characteristic L-shaped molecular structure. tRNAs have two regions of fundamental functional importance: the anti-codon, which is responsible for specific mRNA codon recognition, and the 3' end, to which the tRNAs corresponding amino acid is attached (by aminoacyl-tRNA synthetases). tRNAs cope with the degeneracy of the genetic code in two manners: having more than one tRNA (with a specific anti-codon) for a particular amino acid; and 'wobble' base-pairing, i.e. permitting non-standard base-pairing at the 3rd anti-codon position. Lineage: Bacteria; Bacillati; Bacillota; Erysipelotrichia; Erysipelotrichales; Erysipelotrichaceae. The record is from RNAcentral. RNAcentral also lists the same sequence under 1 other name.
GUGCCCGUAGUUUAAUGAACAGAACUCUCGAUUCCGAUUCGAGCAGAUACAGGUUUAAGUCCUGUCGGGCGCACCA